Long non-coding RNA from Bubalus bubalis (water buffalo), 542 nucleotides. RefSeq lists it as uncharacterized. NCBI's taxonomy places the organism in Eukaryota, Metazoa, Chordata, Mammalia, Artiodactyla, Bovidae. The transcript has 3 exons. The record is from RefSeq and is a predicted model, not a curated record.
CUGUGAGAUCACUGAAGGAGAAGCCAGGGAAGAGAUCUGGUCAUCUGUUAAUUACUUAUUCUUUAUUUCUACUCUUUGGAACUACGGAAGGAACCAACGCAUUAGGCAAAGUAUUCUGUGAUUAAAAGAUUUGAAAGGUGAAUUUGGACCGGAGGUCCUGACCCAGUCUGCCAUUCUAAGCUGUGCUCCUGACAGACGACAAGCAGGAAUAGUGGCCCGAAAACAUCCGUCAGACACCACCCGUGGUACAGUGGUUCAGGACCCAAAGUGGUUCAGUCCAGGACAGAGUUUGGAGACAUACUGCCUGGGGUCGGAUCCUGGCUCCAGCACCCACAGCUGGGGGCUCAGAAGUCCCACGCGGUCUUAUGAAAUGAAAAUGUCUCCUGCCAUUUUAAUAAGUAAGAAAUAUCACAGCCAUCCGCGAUCACUGGCCUCCAAACAUGAAUGAGGGCUCCCAAAACUGCAAUCCAACGGAUGCUGCCCCUCCCCAACGGUGAUGGCUGAGGAGCUGGGGGAAUGAAUGCAAGAAGCAGCCACCUGCU